CAGACGGUCAGCAUCGGUUUUACCAGCCUUUUCUGAAUAAAUUUCCUGUUCUGAGUUCUGUGUGAAACAAAGAGCAGAUCAAUGCUGUGAGAACAGCAGCGAACUGUGACUUCCUGUCUUUUGUUCCCCAGAUAACGACUGGUCAGCGAUGCUAAUAGGUGUUAAUUCUUCUUCUGGUCUUCCAGCUGUGGCAUCACAGGAAGGCGACAGUCACCAGAACAAAAGCUGCAGCUCAGCUUUUUCUUUCCCACCAGCAGCUCUGACGGUGACAAACAUCUUUGCUGUGAAGUGAAAAUACCGAAGUUUCUAAUCUCCGAGAAACAUCUGGAGCGUUACAUCUCCUUCGCUCCCACUGCUCCCAAACCUCCCAGUAUUGAACCAGAUAAAUGGAAUUGUUGCAUGUCUCACAAAUUCUCCUGGUGAUUAUCUAAGCAUCUAAAUAAGGUAUUUUAUGACAGCAACGAUGAUGUCAAAAUGUGCCGUUUCCCUGAAAAAAGAAUAGUCUAUUGUUCACAGCCAGAGAGAAGGAACAAUUAGAAGGAAAACAGCUGGACCAGGUCUCCAGGACCAGUCUAGAAAGUCCGGAGGUGUCAGUGACCGAAGGCCUUCAAUGACCACCGUGGUGCCUUCAAUGACCCUCGUGGUGUAUUCAAACACAGAUUUGUAGAGGAAAGUUUUUUAGGAAUAUUGUCCCCCCCACCCCCCUCAACUUGGAUUAUGUGGGAAUAAUCUUGGCAGGAAAAGGAGACCCCCCCACCACCACCAUUGCUCCUCCUCCUCAUUUCUCUUUCUUUCUUUUUUUCUUUCUUUCUCUCCAAGUUCAUUCCCAGCUCAGUCAUUGAGGGCAUCACACCUCCUCUCUGCCCUUCUUUCAUCCAUCCAUUCCCUUUCUCAUCAUGUCUUCUCUCACUUUUCUGUCUGUUUAUCUAAGCGGAAUCUCACUGUUCCUGCAACUGACUGCUGGUUUCCAGCUUCAGAGUGAAGACGUCACUCCCACUCCCGACUAUGACUCUGACUACAAGGCCACCUUUGAUUACAGCUUCUUCAGUCAGUCUCACACACACACACACACACACACACACACACACACACACACACACACACACACACACACACACAGACACGGAUGUCCUACAGCUUACUUACAGGUGUGUCUUAAGGUAACGCCAGCAGUGAAGACUUGGACAAGUUCAGUGAACAAUUUGAGGACAUCACCGUUACCAUGGCAACCACUCCAGAAACAACAGAAAGGGGCAGGAUUAAUGUUCACAAUGCUGCACCACAUCCAGAGUUUCUGGAGGUCCGAACGCUUCUCUGGACUCUCUUGGUGCUGAUCACACAACAGCUGCAACACACACUCUAGGAGCAGCACCGGGUCAGCGGGUCAGGAGAAUUUAGGAGGAGUCAUCUUAAGGAAGCUUCUCUCUGAUUGGCUCCUUUCUCUUUUUUGUUUGAUCCUGAACCAAUCAGUGAGGCUCACCUGUUCCGAAGUGGGCGGGGCCACCGGCAGGUGUCCAGCUGGACAAGCCACACAGCUUCACGCGCAGCACAGUUCACCACGGCAACGUUUGGCACUGAAUCACUUUUUCUUCUAACCAAUCAGUUUCUGCCUCCUCUGGAUUAGUGGAUCUGGUGGAUUAACAUGGACGCUCAUUCACGCUAAAGAAAAGUUAGAGAGAAAAGAAAAGGAAGUAUUUUCAUGUGUAUGAAAUAAAUCUGAUCUUUGCACAUGAAUCUGACCUGAAAUCAGAAAUCUGUGAGAAGGCAGCGCUGUUUAUUACACACAAGCUGAUCUUUUAUUACCUUUACUCCAGUAAAUUAGCUUGGAUUCAGCUCUGUAGUUAACUUAUUUGUAAAAGCGUAUUGUUACACUUCUGUUCGACAUCAUAGUCAAUAAUGAAACAGUCAUAUUUAAGAGUUUCAAUCUUCGAUGUUUGAGGUUUAAACCUGUGAAAUUGCUGUUAAACUGUUCACCACUGACUCACAUGGAUGCUGCCAGUAACCGAACGUCUGAGGACCCUGGAAUAACGAUCCAUCAAUCAAUCAGCCAAUCGACUUCUGCUGCAGUUCAUCAAUAUCCAAUGAGUUUCCAGGAAAUAAUCAAACAAGCACUUUAUCUUUGCCUUUCACAAUAAAAUCUAUUAAAAGUUCUGAAUCAUUUUCUCCUUUUAACCAAUACAUUUACUUUCUCUGACCCAUUAGAACCAGUCCCCUGACCCUCUCUGACCCAGUAGAACCAGUCUCCUGACCCUCUCUGACCCAGUAGAACCAGUCCCCUGACCCUCUCUGACCCAGUAGAACCAGUCUCCUGAC
Molecule: long non-coding RNA, 2313 nt
Filed under: Takifugu rubripes (torafugu)
Lineage: Eukaryota; Metazoa; Chordata; Actinopteri; Tetraodontiformes; Tetraodontidae
Description: lncRNA (ENSTRUG00000029530.1)
Source: RNAcentral